UGUGGAGGUGUGUGGUGGGGUGUGGAGGUGGUGUGGAGGUGGUGUAGUGGUGUGUGGAGGUGUGUAGUGGGAUGUGGAGGUGUGUAGUGGUGUGUGGAGGUGGUGUAGUGGUGUGUGGAGGUGGUGUAGUGGUGUGUGGAGGUGGUGUAGUGGUGUGUGGAGGUGGUGUAGUGGGGUGUGGAGGUGUGUAGUGGUGUGUGGAGGUGGUGUAGUGGGGUUUGGAGGUGGUGUAGUGGGGUGUGGAGGUGGUGUAGUGGUGUGUGGAGGUGGUGUAGUGGUGUGUGGAGGUGUGUGGAGGUGGUGUAGUGGUGUGUGGAGGUGUGUAGUGGUGUGUGGAGGUGUGUGGUGGUGUGUGGAGGCGUGUGGAGGUGGUGUAGUGGGGUGUGGAGGUGGUGUAGUGGUGUGUGGAGGUGUGGAGGUGGUGUGGUGUGGAGGUGGUGUAUGGAGGUGUGUGAUGGGGUGUGGAGGUGGUGUGGAGGUGGUGUAGUGGUGUGUGGAGGUGUGUGAUGGUGUGUGGUGGAGGUGGUGUGUGGAGGUGUGUGGUGGUGUGUGGAGGUGGUGUGUGGAGGUGGUGUAGUGUG
Clupea harengus (Atlantic herring) is the source of this 581-nucleotide long non-coding RNA. The record is from Ensembl. NCBI's taxonomy places the organism in Eukaryota, Metazoa, Chordata, Actinopteri, Clupeiformes, Clupeidae.